ACGAACCGUGCGAACGUUGUUCGGAAUCACUGGGCUUAAAGGGCGUGUAGGCGGGUGACCAAGUCAGGGGUGAAAUCUUUCGGCCCAACCGGAAAAGUGCCUCUGAUACUGGUCGUCUUGAGGGAGGUAGGGGUCGAGGGAACUGGUGGUGGAGCGGUGAAAUGCGUAGAUAUCACUAGGAACGCCGGUGGCGAAAGCGCUCGACUGGACCUCUUCUGACGCUGAGGCGCGAAAGCCAGGGGAGCAAACGGGA
This 253-nucleotide ribosomal RNA is filed under the name uncultured prokaryote. RNAcentral's name for it is "partial 16S ribosomal RNA". It matches the Rfam family "Bacterial small subunit ribosomal RNA", at positions 525 to 777 of the family's 1533-position model. The record is from RNAcentral.